RNAcentral lists this long non-coding RNA (307 nucleotides) under Carica papaya (papaya). RNAcentral's name for it is "long non-coding RNA (CPAP_LNC002622)". Lineage: Eukaryota; Viridiplantae; Streptophyta; Magnoliopsida; Brassicales; Caricaceae. The record is from RNAcentral.
GGUGUCCAUAUGCCAAGGGAGCUACCGGAAACGUUGCUACAGAAGAUGUUGUUUAUAUGCUCAACGGCCUCGGUGCAACGACCAAUGUAGACCUUACAAAGCUCUUGUUGGCUGGGGAUUUCAUCAGCAAGCAUUUGGGUCGUCAAUCUGGUUCUAAGACGGCAGUUGCAUUGAGCCGAACUACCAGCUGAUGACUGAUGAUGCUGCAAGUGCAAGUAUACAGAAACCGGCUGUUGUAAUCAAGUUUUUUUUUUUUUUCGAUGAGUGGGAAGUGAAGGCGAAAAUUCCCCGCAUAAAUUCUUGUAUA